CCUACGGGAGGCUGCAGUGGGGAAUAUUGCACAAUGGGCGCAAGCCUGAUGCAGCAACGCCGCGUGCGGGAUGGAGGCCUUCGGGUUGUAAACCGCUUUUGUUCAAGGGCAAGGCACAGUCUUUGGCCGCGUUGAGUGUAUUGUUCGCAUACGCACCUGCUAACUACGUGCCAGCAGCCGCGGGCAUACGGAGGGUGCAGGCGUUUUGCGGAUAUAGUGGGCGUAAAGGGCACGUAGGCGGUUCUGCGCGUCCGGUGUGAAAGUCCAUCGCUUAACGGUGGAUCCGCGCCGGGUACGGGCGGGCUUGAGUGCGGUAGGGGAGACUGGAAUUCCCGGUGUAACGGUGGAAUGUGUAGAUAUCGGGAAGAACACCAAUGGCGAAGGCAGGUCGCUGGGCCGUUACUGACGCUGAGGAGCGAAAGCGUGGGGAGCGAACAGGAUUAGAUACCCUUGUAGUC
Molecule: ribosomal RNA, 458 nt
Filed under: uncultured bacterium
Lineage: Bacteria
Description: partial 16S ribosomal RNA
Rfam family: Bacterial small subunit ribosomal RNA
Source: RNAcentral